This 76-nucleotide transfer RNA is filed under the name Candidatus Omnitrophota bacterium. RNAcentral describes it as "Candidatus Omnitrophica bacterium (hot springs metagenome) tRNA-Thr". It matches the Rfam family "tRNA". From Rfam's summary of the family: Transfer RNA (tRNA) molecules are approximately 80 nucleotides in length. Their secondary structure includes four short double-helical elements and three loops (D, anti-codon, and T loops). Lineage: Bacteria; Pseudomonadati; Candidatus Omnitrophota. The record is from RNAcentral.
GCCGGCGUAGCUCAGCUGGUAGAGCAGCGCUUUCGUAAAGCGCGGGUCGGGGGUUCAAAUCCCUUCGCCGGCUCUA